UGGGGAAUUUUGGACAAUGGGCGAAAGCCUGAUCCAGCAAUGCCGCGUGUGUGAAGAAGGCCUUCGGGUUGUAAAGCACUUUUGUCCGGAAAGAAAUCCUUGGCUCUAAUACAGUCGGGGGAUGACGGUACCGGAAGAAUAAGCACCGGCUAACUACGUGCCAGCAGCCGCGGUAAUACGUAGGGUGCAAGCGUUAAUCGGAAUUACUGGGCGUAAAGCGUGCGCAGGCGGUUUGCUAAGACCGAUGUGAAAUCCCCGGGCUCAACCUGGGAACUGCAUUGGUGACUGGCAGGCUAGAGUAUGGCAGAGGGGGGUAGAAUUCCACGUGUAGCAGUGAAAUGCGUAGAGAUGUGGAGGAAUACCGAUGGCGAAGGCAGCCCCCUGGGCCAAUACUGACGCUCAUGCACGAAAGCGUGGGGGAGCAAAACAGGAUUAGAUACCCUGGUAGUCCACGCCCUAAAACGAUGUCAACUAGUUGUUGGGGAUUCAUUUCCUUAGUAACGUAGCUAACGCGUGAAGUUGACCGCCUGGGGGAGUACGGUCGCAAGAUUAAAACUCAAAGGAAUUGACGGGGUCAUAGCUGUUUCC
This 588-nucleotide ribosomal RNA is filed under the name uncultured bacterium. Its description in RNAcentral is "partial 16S ribosomal RNA". It matches the Rfam family "Bacterial small subunit ribosomal RNA", at positions 355 to 937 of the family's 1533-position model. The record is from RNAcentral.